AGCAGCCGCGGUAAUUCCAGCUCCAAUAGCGUAUAUUAAAGUUGUUGCAGUUAAAAAGCUCGUAGUUGAAUUUCGGGGUUCUACCGUUGGUCGGGCUUUGUCUGUACUGGCGUGUGGAAUUUCUACCUUCUGGGGAACUAUCAUGUUAUUAAUUUAGCGUGGUGGGAAACCAGGACCUUUACCUUGAAAAAAUUAGAGUGUUCAAAGCAGGCUUACGUCUGAAUACAUUAGCAUGGAAUAAUAAAAUAGGACGGUGGUCCUGUUUUGUUGGUUUCUGAAUCACCGUAAUGAUUAAUAGGGAUAGUUGGGGGCAUUAGUAUUCAAUUGUCAGAGGUGAAAUUCUUGGAUCUAU
This 352-nucleotide ribosomal RNA is filed under the name uncultured Racocetra. RNAcentral's name for it is "SSU rRNA". It matches the Rfam family "Eukaryotic small subunit ribosomal RNA", at positions 569 to 929 of the family's 1831-position model. The record is from RNAcentral. Lineage: Eukaryota; Fungi; Glomeromycota; Glomeromycetes; Diversisporales; Gigasporaceae.